AAUUGACGGGGACCCGCACAAGCGGUGGAUGAUGUGGAUUAAUUCGAUGCAACGCGAAAACCUUACCUACCUUGACAUGUCCGGAAUCCCGAAGAGAUUUGGGAGUGCUCGCAAGAGAACCGGAACACAGGUGCUGCAUGGCUGUCGUCAGCUCGUGUCGUGAGAUGUUGGGUUAAGUCCCGCAACGAGCGCAACCCUUGUCAUUAGUUGCCAUCAUUUGGUUGGGCACUCUAAUGAGACUGCCGGUGACAAACCGGAGGAAGGUGGGGAUGACGUCAAGUCCUCAUGGCCCUUAUGGGUAGGGCUUCACACGUCAUACAAUGGUCGGUACAGAGGGUUGCCAACCCGCGAGGGGGAGCUAAUCCCACAAAGCCGAUCGUAGUCCGGAUCGCAGUCUGCAACUCGACUGCGUGAAGUCGGAAUCGCUAGUAAUCGUGGAUCAGCAUGUCACGGUGAAUACGUUCCCGGGUCUU
This 473-nucleotide ribosomal RNA is filed under the name uncultured Rhodocyclaceae bacterium. RNAcentral describes it as "bacterial SSU rRNA". It matches the Rfam family "Bacterial small subunit ribosomal RNA", at positions 908 to 1382 of the family's 1533-position model. Lineage: Bacteria; Pseudomonadati; Pseudomonadota; Betaproteobacteria; Rhodocyclales; Rhodocyclaceae. The record is from RNAcentral.